CCGCCCGUCACACCAUGGGAGUUUGUUGCACCAGAAGCAGGUAGCUUAACACGCAAGUGGGGGGCGCUUGCCACGGUGUGGCCGAUGACUGGGGUG
This 96-nucleotide ribosomal RNA is filed under the name uncultured bacterium. Its description in RNAcentral is "partial 16S ribosomal RNA". The record is from RNAcentral.